Molecule: ribosomal RNA, 481 nt
Filed under: uncultured bacterium
Lineage: Bacteria
Description: partial 16S ribosomal RNA
Rfam family: Bacterial small subunit ribosomal RNA
Source: RNAcentral
GACGAACGUUGGCGGCGUGCUUAAUACAUGCAAGUCAACUGAAGCAGCGGUAGCAAUAUCGCUUUGGAGGUGGCGCACGGGUGAGUAACACGUAGGUAAUCUGCCUUCAGGUCUGGCAUAACUCCGGGAAACCGGGGCUAAUAGCAGAUGAUGCAGCGGCUCGACAUCGAGACAGUUGUUAAAGCUAUGGCGCCUGAAGAUGAGCCUGCGUCUGAUUAGCUAGUUGGCGAGGUCUCGGCCCACCAAGGCAACGAUCAGUAGCUGGUCUGAGAGGAUGAUCAGGAAAACAGCAACCGAGACACGGACCAGAAUCCUACCGGGAGCAGCAGUAAGGAAUAUAGUGAAAUGGAAGCAAUCCUGAAGCAGCAACGCAGCGAGCAAGACGAAGGGCUGUUGCUUGUAAACCGCUGUGGUGAGAGAAAAAAAUCCCAAUCAUUGGGGCAUGAUGGUAACUGAAAAGUAAGCCCCGGCUAACUACGUG